UGGCUGCGGCGGUGGGAGACGCGGUUCUAGCCGCGAUACCCGGCCCCAGGCGGAGGGCGGACCUCGGGACUCAAGCCGGCGCCCCUUCCCGUUCCCUCCCUUCCUGCGCUUGCCUCCCAAUCCAGGCACGGCUGCACUGGCGAGCUGCAGCUCUCUUCCGUUUACACGUCCACAGACUCGGGGAGGCGGAGGAUGUGGAAUAUGGCACGUACGGGUGCCUCUGGUCUCUCUGCUACUACGGCACCCCCUCCCAACCCACACUCUGUCUCUCCCUCCAAGUUCACCACAGGACAGCAAAGGAGAUGUGUUAAGCAGGAAGCUUAUCGUCAAGGGAGGCAAGUUCUCACCAGCUCAGAUAAGAGGAAAUAGAAGAGGGGACCCAGGCUGGUUCAGCUGGUAAAGCAUGAGACUCUUGAUCUCAGGAUCAUGAGUUCAAGCCCCACAUCCAGUAUGGAGCCUACUUAAAAAAAAAAAAAGAAGAAGAAGAAGAAGAAAAAG
Long non-coding RNA from Neofelis nebulosa (Clouded leopard), 498 nucleotides. RefSeq lists it as uncharacterized. The record is from RefSeq and is a predicted model, not a curated record. The transcript has 3 exons. NCBI's taxonomy places the organism in Eukaryota, Metazoa, Chordata, Mammalia, Carnivora, Felidae.